Molecule: ribosomal RNA, 463 nt
Filed under: Streptococcus mitis
Lineage: Bacteria; Bacillati; Bacillota; Bacilli; Lactobacillales; Streptococcaceae
Description: bacterial SSU rRNA
Rfam family: Bacterial small subunit ribosomal RNA
Source: RNAcentral
GGCGGCGUGCCUAAUACAUGCAAGUAGAACGCUGAAGGAGGAGCUUGCUUCUCUGGAUGAGCUGCGAACGGGUGAGUAACGCGUAGGUAACCUGCCUGGUAGCGGGGGAUAACUAUUGGAAACGAUAGCUAAUACCGCAUAAGAGUAGAUGUUGCAUGACAUUUGCUUAAAAGGUGCAAUUGCAUCACUACCAGAUGGACCUGCGUUGUAUUAGCUAGUUGGUGGGGUAACGGCUCACCAAGGCGACGAUACAUAGCCGACCUGAGAGGGUGAUCGGCCACACUGGGACUGAGACACGGCCCAGACUCCUACGGGAGGCAGCAGUAGGGAAUCUUCGGCAAUGGACGGAAGUCUGACCGAGCAACGCCGCGUGAGUGAAGAAGGUUUUCGGAUCGUAAAGCUCUGUUGUAAGAGAAGAACGAGUGUGAGAGUGGAAAGUUCACAACUGUGACGGUUUCUACCA